GACGAACGCUGGCGACGUGCUUAACACAUGCAAGUCGAACGGAAAGGCCCUGCUUGCAGGGUACUCGAGUGGCGAACGGGUGAGUAACACGUGGGUGAUCUGCCCUGCACUUCGGGAUAAGCCUGGGAAACUGGGUCUAAUACCGGAUAUGACCUUCCAUGUAGAGUGGGGGGUGGAAAGAUUUAUCGGUGUGGGAUGAGCCCGCGGCCUAUCAGCUUGUUGGUGGGGUAAUGGCCUACCAAGGCGUCGACGGGUAGCCGGCCUGAGAGGGUGGACGGCCACAGUGGGACUGAGAUACGGCCCAGACUCCUACGGGAGGCAGCAGUGGGGAAUAUUGCACAAUGGGCGGAAGCCUUAUGCAGCGACGCCGCGUGGGGGAUGACGGCCUUCGGGUUGUAAACCUCUUUCGACAGGGACGAAGCUUCGGUGACGGUACCUGUAUAAGAAGCACCGGCUAACUACGUG
This 465-nucleotide ribosomal RNA is filed under the name uncultured bacterium. Its description in RNAcentral is "partial 16S ribosomal RNA". It matches the Rfam family "Bacterial small subunit ribosomal RNA", at positions 28 to 507 of the family's 1533-position model. The record is from RNAcentral.